This 253-nucleotide ribosomal RNA is filed under the name uncultured bacterium. RNAcentral describes it as "partial 16S ribosomal RNA". It matches the Rfam family "Bacterial small subunit ribosomal RNA", at positions 524 to 776 of the family's 1533-position model. The record is from RNAcentral.
GACAGAGGGUGCGAACGUUGUUCGGAAUUACUGGGCGUAAAGGGCGUGUAGGCGGCCAACUAAGUCCGACGUGAAAUCCCCAGGCUUAACCUGGGAACUGCGUCGGAUACUGGAUGGCUUGAAUCCGGGAGAGGGAUGCAGAAUUCCAGGUGUAGCGGUGAAAUGCGUAGAUAUCUGGAGGAACACCGGUGGCGAAGGCGGCAUCCUGGACCGACACUGACGCUGAGGAGCGAAAGCGUGGGGAGCGAACAGG